RNAcentral lists this ribosomal RNA (393 nucleotides) under uncultured bacterium. RNAcentral's name for it is "partial 16S ribosomal RNA". It matches the Rfam family "Bacterial small subunit ribosomal RNA", at positions 523 to 918 of the family's 1533-position model. The record is from RNAcentral.
AUACGGAGGAUGCGAGCGUUAUCCGGAUUUAUUGGGUUUAAAGGGAGCGUAGGUGGGAUAUUAAGUCAGCUGUGAAAGUUUGGGGCUCAACCUUAAAAUUGCAGUUGAUACUGGUUUCCUUGAGUACGGUACAGGUGGGCGGAAUUCGUGGUGUAGCGGUGAAAUGCUUAGAUAUCACGAAGAACUCCGAUCGCGAAGGCAGCUCACCGGGCCGGAACUGACACUGAUGCUCGAAAGUGCGGGUAUCAAACAGGAUUAGAUACCCUGGUAGUCCGCACAGUAAACGAUGAAUACUCGCUGUUUGCGAUACACUGUAAGCGGCCAAGCGAAAGCGUUAAGUAUUCCACCUGGGGAGUUCGCCGGCAACGGUGAAACUCAAAGGAAUUGGCGGGG